Molecule: long non-coding RNA, 398 nt
Organism: Nicrophorus vespilloides
Lineage: Eukaryota; Metazoa; Arthropoda; Insecta; Coleoptera; Silphidae
Exons: 3
Source: RefSeq, a predicted model, not a curated record
GCAGGAUUGACAGAUUUCGAUGACAGUUGCUGAUUUGAUGCUGCGGGUUGUCAACUGCGGAAAUUCAAAUGUCAAAGAUGAAAUUCUGCGAAUGUUUGACAUCGAUUUUUAAUGUAUGCAACAUUAUGCAUUCUGCAAUACGUAAUGUGUUGGUAUACGAUUAACCUAAAUCUUUGACAGGAAUGAAUCGAAUUAAAUGACAGUUGCUGAUUUGACGUCUGAGAUGUCACCAGUGGACAGAUUCAAAUUGCUGAAAGUUCAAAGGAUUCUCUCGGCUGUGCAGUCUCUAUCUCUGUUUCUUGUGGCCCCAUGAAAUGAGGCGACCUUGGGCCAAUUUUACCUACACUUCUCUCGCUCUACGGACGAAAGUGAUUUUAUCGAAAGCAAAGAACGACAAC